CCUGCGGAAGGAUCAUUAUUGAAUUU
This 26-nucleotide ribosomal RNA is filed under the name Rhizoctonia solani AG-6. RNAcentral's name for it is "partial 18S ribosomal RNA". Lineage: Eukaryota; Fungi; Basidiomycota; Agaricomycetes; Cantharellales; Ceratobasidiaceae. The record is from RNAcentral.